CUUCCUGGUGGCGAGCGGCGGACGGGUGAGUAAUGCAUAGAAAUCUGCCCGGUAGUGGGGGAUAACCUGGGGAAACCCAGGCUAAUACCGCAUACGUCCUACGGGAGAAAGCAGGGGAUCUUCGGACCUUGCGCUAUCGGAUGAGUCUAUGUCGGAUUAGCUUGUUGGCGAGGUAAUGGCUCACCAAGGCGACGAUCCGUAGCUGGUCUGAGAGGAUGAUCAGCCACAUCGGGACUGAGACACGGCCCGAACUCCUACGGGAGGCAGCAGUGGGGAAUAUUGGACAAUGGGCGAAAGCCUGAUCCAGCCAUGCCGCGUGUGUGAAGAAGGCCUUCGGGUUGUAAAGCACUUUCAGUGGGGAAGAAAGCCUUGGGGCUAAUACCCUCGAGGAAGGACAUCACCCACAGAAGAAGCACCGGCUAACUCCGUGCCAGCAGCCGCGGUAAUACGGAGGGUGCGAGCGUUAAUCGGAAUUACUGGGCGUAAAGCGCGCGUAGGCGGUCUGAUAAGCCGGUUGUGAAAGCCCCGGGCUCAACCUGGGAACGGCAUCCGGAACUGUCAGGCUAGAGUGCAGGAGAGGAAGGUAGAAUUCCCGGUGUAGCGGUGAAAUGCGUAGAGAUCGGGAGGAAUACCAGUGGCGAAGGCGGCCUUCUGGACUGACACUGACGCUGAGGUGCGAAAGCGUGGGUAGCAAACAGGAUUAGAUACCCUGGUAGUCCACGCCGUAAACGAUGUCGACUAGCCGUUGGGCUCCUUGAGAGCUUUGUGGCGCAGUUAACGCGAUAAGUCGACCGCCUGGG
Molecule: ribosomal RNA, 800 nt
Filed under: uncultured bacterium
Lineage: Bacteria
Description: bacterial SSU rRNA
Rfam family: Bacterial small subunit ribosomal RNA
Source: RNAcentral